GACGAACGCUGGCGGCGUGCUUAACACAUGCAAGUCGAACGGUGAAGGGAUCAGUUUGCUGGUUCUGGAUGAGUGGCGAACGGGUGAGUAACACGUGAGUAACCUGCCCCCUUCUUCUGGAUAACCGCAUGAAAGUGUGGCUAAUACGGGAUAUUCUGGGUCUGUCGCAUGAUGGGUCUGGGAAAGAUAUUGUUUCGGUGGGGGAUGGGCUCGCGGCCUAUCAGCUUGUUGGUGGGGUGAUGGCCUACCAAGGCGGUGACGGGUAGCCGGCCUGAGAGGGUGGACGGUCACACUGGGACUGAGACACGGCCCAGACUCCUACGGGAGGCAGCAGUGGGGAAUAUUGCACAAUGGGCGCAAGCCUGAUGCAGCGACGCCGCGUGAGGGAUGGAGGCCUUCGGGUUGUAAACCUCUUUCGCCAGUGAAGCAGGCCUGCUCCUUGUGGGUGGGUUGACGGUAGCUGGAGAAGAAGCGCCGGCUAACUACGUG
RNAcentral lists this ribosomal RNA (489 nucleotides) under uncultured bacterium. RNAcentral's name for it is "partial 16S ribosomal RNA". It matches the Rfam family "Bacterial small subunit ribosomal RNA", at positions 28 to 507 of the family's 1533-position model. The record is from RNAcentral.